This 778-nucleotide ribosomal RNA is filed under the name uncultured bacterium. Its description in RNAcentral is "bacterial SSU rRNA". It matches the Rfam family "Bacterial small subunit ribosomal RNA", at positions 1 to 822 of the family's 1533-position model. The record is from RNAcentral.
CAGUCGACGGAAUCGUUAUUAAUGGAAAUAAGAUUUAUCUGAAAUAAGUUAAUAACAAUGAUUUUAGUGGCGGACUGGUGAGUAACACGUAAGCAACCUGCCUAUUAGAGGGGAAUAACAGUGAGAAAUCACUGCUAAUACCGCAUAAGCUAACACUAUUGCAUGAUAGAGUUAGAAAAGGAGAAAUCCGCUAAUAGAUGGGCUUGCGUCCGAUUAGCUAGUUGGUGGGGCAAAGGCCUACCAAGGCAACGAUCGGUAGCCGAGCUGAGAGGCUCAACGGCCACAUUGGGACUGAGAUACGGCCCAGACUCCUACGGGAGGCAGCAGUCGGGAAUAUUGCACAAUGGAGGAAACUCUGAUGCAGUGACACCGCGUAUAGGAAGAAGGUUUUCGGAUUGUAAACUAUUUUAGACAGGGAAGAAAAAAGACAGUACCUGUAGAAUAAGCUCCGGCUAACUACGUGCCAGCAGCCGCGGUAAUACGUAGGGAGCAAGCGUUAUCCGGAAUUAUUGGGUGUAAAGGGUGCGUAGACGGGACAGCAAGUUAGUUGUGAAAGCCCUCGGCUUAACUGAGGAACUGCAACUAAAACUAUUGUUCUUGAGUGCAGGAGAGGAAAGGGGAAUUCCUAGUGUAGCGGUGAAAUGCGUAGAUAUUAGGAGGAACACCAGUGGCGAAGGCGGCUUUCUGGACUGUAACUGACGUUGAGGCACGAAAGUGUGGGGAGCNAACAGGAUUAGAUACCNUGGUAGUCCACACUGUAAACGAUGGAUACUAGGUG